AUUGAACGCUGGCGGCAUGCUUUACACAUGCAAGUCGAACGGUAACAGGUUAAGCUGACGAGUGGCGAACGGGUGAGUAAUGCAUCGGAACGUGCCCAGUCGUGGGGGAUAACGCAGCGAAAGCUGUGCUAAUACCGCAUACGAUCUAUGGAUGAAAGCGGGGGACCGUAAGGCCUCGCGCGAUUGGAGCGGCCGAUGUCAGAUUAGCUAGUUGGUGGGGUAAAGGCCCACCAAGGCGACGAUCUGUAGCUGGUCUGAGAGGACGACCAGCCACACUGGAACUGAGACACGGUCCAGACUCCUACGGGAGGCAGCAGUGGGGAAUUUUGGACAAUGGGCGCAAGCCUGAUCCAGCAAUGCCGCGUGCAGGAAGAAGGCC
RNAcentral lists this ribosomal RNA (379 nucleotides) under uncultured bacterium. RNAcentral describes it as "bacterial SSU rRNA". It matches the Rfam family "Bacterial small subunit ribosomal RNA", at positions 30 to 416 of the family's 1533-position model. The record is from RNAcentral.